UAGGGAAUAUUGCACAAUGGGCGAAAGCCUGAUGCAGCCAUGCCGCGUGGAGGAUGAAGGCCUUCGGGUCGUAAACUCCUUUUCUGAGAGACGAACCGCCGACGGAAGAAAUGCCGUCGGUCUGACGGUACCUCAGGAAUAAGCAACGGCUAACUCCGUGCCAGCAGCCGCGGUAAUACGGAGGUUGCGAGCGUUGUUCGGAAUAACUGGGCGUAAAGGGAGCGCAGGCGGUUCAGUAAGUCUAAAGUGAAAUCCCGGGGCUUAACCUCGGACGUGCUGUGGAUACUGCUGGACUUGAGUACGUGAGAGGAAAGCGGAAUUCCAGGUGUAGCGGUGAAAUGCGUAGAUAUCUGGAGGAACACCAGUGGCGAAAGCGGCUUUCUGGCACGAUACUGACGCUGAGGCUCGAAAGCGUGGGGAGCGAACG
RNAcentral lists this ribosomal RNA (427 nucleotides) under uncultured prokaryote. RNAcentral's name for it is "bacterial SSU rRNA". It matches the Rfam family "Bacterial small subunit ribosomal RNA", at positions 355 to 774 of the family's 1533-position model. The record is from RNAcentral.